Molecule: transfer RNA, 73 nt
Filed under: Verrucomicrobiota bacterium
Lineage: Bacteria; Pseudomonadati; Verrucomicrobiota
Also listed under: 5 other names
Description: tRNA-Ala
Rfam family: tRNA
About the family: Transfer RNA (tRNA) molecules are approximately 80 nucleotides in length. Their secondary structure includes four short double-helical elements and three loops (D, anti-codon, and T loops).
Source: RNAcentral
GGGGCAUUAGCUCAGUUGGUAGAGCACCUGCAUGGCAUGCAGGGGGUCAGCGGUUCAAAUCCGCUAUGCUCCA